This 716-nucleotide ribosomal RNA is filed under the name uncultured Bacilli bacterium. RNAcentral describes it as "bacterial SSU rRNA". It matches the Rfam family "Bacterial small subunit ribosomal RNA", at positions 33 to 732 of the family's 1533-position model. The record is from RNAcentral. Lineage: Bacteria; Bacillati; Bacillota; Bacilli.
ACGCUGGCGGCGUGCCUAAUACAUGCAAGUAGAACGCUGAAGAGAGGAGCUUGCUCUUCUUGGAUGAGUUGCGAACGGGUGAGUAACGCGUAGGUAACCUGCCUUGUAGCGGGGGAUAACUAUUGGAAACGAUAGCUAAUACCGCAUAACAAUGGAUGACACAUGUCAUUUAUUUGAAAGGGGCAAUUGCUCCACUACAAGAUGGACCUGCGUUGUAUUAGCUAGUAGGUGAGGUAACGGCUCACCUAGGCGACGAUACAUAGCCGACCUGAGAGGGUGAUCGGCCACACUGGGACUGAGACACGGCCCAGACUCCUACGGGAGGCAGCAGUAGGGAAUCUUCGGCAAUGGGGGCAACCCUGACCGAGCAACGCCGCGUGAGUGAAGAAGGUUUUCGGAUCGUAAAGCUCUGUUGUAAGUCAAGAACGAGUGUGAGAGUGGAAAGUUCACACUGUGACGGUAGCUUACCAGAAAGGGACGGCUAACUACGUGCCAGCAGCCGCGGUAAUACGUAGGUCCCGAGCGUUGUCCGGAUUUAUUGGGCGUAAAGCGAGCGCAGGCGGUUUGAUAAGUCUGAAGUUAAAGGCUGUGGCUCAACCAUAGUUCGCUUUGGAAACUGUCAAACUUGAGUGCAGAAGGGGAGAGUGGAAUUCCAUGUGUAGCGGUGAAAUGCGUAGAUAUAUGGAGGAACACCGGUGGCGAAAGCGGCUCUCUGG